This 274-nucleotide ribosomal RNA is filed under the name uncultured bacterium. Its description in RNAcentral is "partial 16S ribosomal RNA". It matches the Rfam family "Bacterial small subunit ribosomal RNA", at positions 524 to 794 of the family's 1533-position model. The record is from RNAcentral.
UACAGAGGGGGCAAGCGUUUGUUCGGAAUUACUGGGCGUAAAGGGCGCGUAGGCGGCCUUCUAAGUCGAACGUGAAAUCCCCGGGCUCAACCCGGGAACUGCGUCCGAUACUGGAAGGCUUGAAUCCGGGAAGAGGGAUGCGGAAUUCCAGGUGUAGCGGUGAAAUGCGUAGAUAUCUGGAGGAACACCGGUGGCGAAGGCGGCAUCCUGGACCGGCAUUGACGCGUGAGGCGCGAAAGCCAGGGGAGCAAAGCGGGAUUAAGAAACCCGGGGU